AGAAACAAAGAAGAAGAAAAGGAUAAGAAGAAGUAGGUAAGAGAGAGUGAGAGAGAUCAGAAAGGAAAAGAAAAGGAAAGAUAAGGAAAGAAGAAAGAGGAAGAGGAAAGAGGAAAAGAGGAAGAAGAUAAGAAGAGGAAGAAAGAAGAUGGAAAGGUCAUGAAGAUCAUGUUCAUAACCACCAUCAUCUCAUCUUCAUCAUCAAUCAUCACCAACUUCAUCUUCUUCUUCUACUAGGAGAGUUCUUAGAUAGAUUUAGCAUUUGGGGGAAAAUAACCUAUAUUUAUGGGGUUAGGAUUUGUGUCAAUUUGUGAUGAACUUGUUGCGUUCAUACUCCCUAUCCAUGUUAUGUGUUGAUAUCAUGUUGUUGUUGUUGAAAUUGUGGAAAGAGAAGGAAAGAAGAAAGAGGAAAAGAGGAAGAAUAGAAGAAGAGGAAGGAAGAAGAUGGAAAACUCAUGAAGAUCAUGUUCAUAACCACCAUCAUCUCAUCUUCAUCAUUAGUCAUCACCAACUUCAUCUUCUUCUUCUACUAGGUGAGUUCUUAGAUAGAUUUAGCAUUUGGGGGAAAAUAACCUAUAUUUAUGGGGUUAGGAUUUGUGUGAAUUUGUGAUGAACUUGUUGCGUUCAUACUCCCUAUCCAUGUUAUGUGUUGAUAUCAUGUUGUUGUUGUUGAAAUUGUGGAAAGAGAAGGAAAGAAGAAAGAGGAAAAGAGGAAGAAGAGGAAGGAAGAAGAUGGAAAGCUCAUGAAGAUCAUGUUCAUAACCACCAUCAUCUCAUCUUCAUCAUCAGUCAUCACCAACUUCAUCUUCUUCUUACCAACUUCAUCUUCUUCUUCUGCUAGGUGAGUUCUUAGAUAGAUUUAGCAUUUGGGGGAAAAUAACCUAUAUUUAUGGGGUUAGGAUUUGUGUGAAUUUGUGAUGAACUUGUUGUGUUCAUACUC
This 940-nucleotide long non-coding RNA is filed under the name Lathyrus oleraceus (garden pea). Its description in RNAcentral is "Pisum sativum (pea) long non-coding RNA (PSAT_LNC037005)". The record is from RNAcentral. Lineage: Eukaryota; Viridiplantae; Streptophyta; Magnoliopsida; Fabales; Fabaceae.